RNAcentral lists this transfer RNA (75 nucleotides) under Escherichia coli. RNAcentral describes it as "tRNA-Val(tac)". It matches the Rfam family "tRNA". Rfam says of the family: Transfer RNA (tRNA) molecules are approximately 80 nucleotides in length. Their secondary structure includes four short double-helical elements and three loops (D, anti-codon, and T loops). The record is from RNAcentral. Lineage: Bacteria; Pseudomonadati; Pseudomonadota; Gammaproteobacteria; Enterobacterales; Enterobacteriaceae.
GGGUGAUUAGCUCAGCUGGGAGAGCACCUCCCUUACAAGGAGGGGGUCGGCGUUCGAUCCCGUCAUCACCCACCA